This is a small nucleolar RNA of Micropterus dolomieu (smallmouth bass), 135 nucleotides long. RefSeq annotates it as small nucleolar RNA SNORA47. NCBI's taxonomy places the organism in Eukaryota, Metazoa, Chordata, Actinopteri, Centrarchiformes, Centrarchidae. The record is from RefSeq and is a predicted model, not a curated record. The transcript has a single exon.
UGGAGGACUGAGAAGGUUGAGCAGCUUGUAUUGUGCUGCUGUAACUGGUUAUAACCUCCAAGAGUAACUCACAAACCACACCUCCUAAUUGGCUCUGUCACAAGCAGAGCUGAUGUGAGUGUUUGUGAACAAAAC